GGGCGAUUAGCUCAGUUGGUUAGAGCGCCACGUUUACACCGUGGUGGUCGGCGGUUCGAGUCCGUCAUCGCCCACCA
This 77-nucleotide transfer RNA is filed under the name Lentisphaerota bacterium. RNAcentral describes it as "Lentisphaerae bacterium (anaerobic digester metagenome) tRNA-Val". It matches the Rfam family "tRNA". Rfam says of the family: Transfer RNA (tRNA) molecules are approximately 80 nucleotides in length. Their secondary structure includes four short double-helical elements and three loops (D, anti-codon, and T loops). RNAcentral also lists the same sequence under 1 other name. The record is from RNAcentral. Lineage: Bacteria; Pseudomonadati; Lentisphaerota.